This 251-nucleotide ribosomal RNA is filed under the name uncultured prokaryote. Its description in RNAcentral is "partial 16S rRNA". It matches the Rfam family "Bacterial small subunit ribosomal RNA", at positions 525 to 775 of the family's 1533-position model. The record is from RNAcentral.
ACGUAGGUGGCGAGCGUUAUCCGGAAUUAUUGGGCGUAAAGGGCCCGUAGGCGGCCUGUUAAGUCUGGAGUGAAAUUCCUGAUUUCAACUUAGGGAGUGCUUUGGAAACUGGCGGGCUGGAGUGCAGGAGAGGGUAGCGGAAUUCCCGGUGUAGCGGUGAAAUGCGUAGAGAUCGGGAGGAACGCCAGGGGCGAAGGCGGCUAACUGGACUGAAACUGACGCUGAGGCGCGAAAGUGUGGGGAGGAAACAG